RNAcentral lists this non-coding RNA (117 nucleotides) under Nomascus leucogenys (northern white-cheeked gibbon). Lineage: Eukaryota; Metazoa; Chordata; Mammalia; Primates; Hylobatidae. The record is from Rfam by way of RNAcentral.
GCCGGGCGCGGUGGCUCACGCCUGUAAUCCCAGCACUUCGGGAGGCCGAGGUGGGUGGAUCACCUGAGGUCAGGAGUUCGAGACGAGCCUGACCAACAUGGUGAAAUCCUGCCUCUA